This 712-nucleotide ribosomal RNA is filed under the name uncultured bacterium. RNAcentral describes it as "bacterial SSU rRNA". It matches the Rfam family "Bacterial small subunit ribosomal RNA", at positions 796 to 1508 of the family's 1533-position model. The record is from RNAcentral.
CACGCCCUAAACGAUGUCAACUAGUUGUUGGUGGAGUAAAAUCCAUGAGUAACGUAGCUAACGCGUGAAGUUGACCGCCUGGGGAGUACGGUCGCAAGAUUAAAACUCAAAUGAAUUGACGGGGGCCCGCACAAGCGGUGGAUUAUGUGGAUUAAUUCGAUGCAACGCGAAAAACCUUACCUGGCCUUGACAUGUACGGAACUUUCUAGAGAUAGAUUGGUGCCUUCGGGAACCGUAACACAGGUGCUGCAUGGCUGUCGUCAGCUCGUGUCGUGAGAUGUUGGGUUAAGUCCCGCAACGAGCGCAACCCUUGCCAAUAAUUGCCAUCAUUUAGUUGGGCACUUUAUUGGGACUGCCGGUGACAAACCGGAGGAAGGUGGGGAUGACGUCAAGUCCUCAUGGCCCUUAUGGCCAGGGCUUCACACGUAAUACAAUGGUCGGUACAGAGGGUCGCCAACCCGCGAGGGGGAGCAAAUCCCAGAAAGCCGAUCGUAGUCCGGAUUGUUCUCUGCAACUCGAGAGCAUGAAGUCGGAAUCGCUAGUAAUCGCGGAUCAGAAUGUCGCGGUGAAUACGUUCCCGGGCCUUGUACACACCGCCCGUCACACCAUGGGAGUGGGUUUUACCAGAAGUAGGUAGUCUAACCUUCGGGGGGACGCUUACCACGGUAGUAUUCAUGACUGGGGUGAAGUCGUAACAAGGUAGCCGUAAUCU